UACGUAGGGGGCAAGCGUUGUCCGGAAUCAUUGGGCGUAAAGAGCGUGUAGGCGGCCCGGUAAGUCCGCUGUGAAAGUCCAGGGCUCAACCCUGGAAUGCCGGUGGAAACUGUCGGGCUAGAGUCCGGAAGAGGCGAGUGGAAUUCCCGGUGUAGCGGUGAAAUGCGCAGAUAUCGGGAGGAACACCAAUGGCGAAGGCAGCUCGCUGGGACGGUACUGACGCUGAGACGCGAAAGCGUGGGGAGCAAACAGG
This 253-nucleotide ribosomal RNA is filed under the name uncultured bacterium. Its description in RNAcentral is "partial 16S ribosomal RNA". It matches the Rfam family "Bacterial small subunit ribosomal RNA", at positions 524 to 776 of the family's 1533-position model. The record is from RNAcentral.